RNAcentral lists this ribosomal RNA (404 nucleotides) under uncultured Cellulosilyticum sp. RNAcentral describes it as "partial 16S ribosomal RNA". It matches the Rfam family "Bacterial small subunit ribosomal RNA", at positions 355 to 774 of the family's 1533-position model. The record is from RNAcentral. Lineage: Bacteria; Bacillati; Bacillota; Clostridia; Lachnospirales; Cellulosilyticaceae.
UGGGGAAUAUUGCACAAUGGGCGAAAGCCUGAUGCAGCAACGCCGCGUGAAGGAUGAAGGUCUUCGGAUUGUAAACUUCUAUCAGUAGGGAAGAAUAAAUGACGGUACCUAACUAAGAAGCUCCGGCUAACUACGUGCCAGCAGCCGCGGUAAUACGUAGGGAGCGAGCGUUAUCCGGAUUUACUGGGUGUAAAGGGUGCGUAGGCGGUUUUUUAAGUCAAAAGUGAAAUUUCGGGGCUCAACCCCGGAGCUGCUUUUGAAACUGGAGAACUAGAGUGUGGGAGAGGAAAGCGGAACUUUGAGUGUAGCGGUGAAAUGCGUAGAGAUUCAAAGGAACACCAGUAGCGAAGGCGGCUUUCUGGACCAUUACUGACGCUGAGGCACGAAAGCGUGGGGAGCAAACA